Molecule: transfer RNA, 70 nt
Filed under: Cautires nervosus
Lineage: Eukaryota; Metazoa; Arthropoda; Insecta; Coleoptera; Lycidae
Description: tRNA-Glu
Source: RNAcentral
AUUUGUAUAGUUUAAUAAAAAAAACAUUUCACUUUCAUUGAAAAAUUAAAUAAUAAUUAUUUUACAAAUA